GAUGAACGCUGGCGGCGUGCCUAAUACAUGCAAGUCGAGCGAACAGACGAGGAGCUUGCUCCUCUGACGUUAGCGGCGGACGGGUGAGUAACACGUGGAUAACCUACCUAUAAGACUGGGAUAACUUCGGGAAACCGGAGCUAAUACCGGAUAAUAUAUUGAACCGCAUGGUUCAAUAGUGAAAGACGGUUUUGCUGUCACUUAUAGAUGGAUCCGCGCCGCAUUAGCUAGUUGGUAAGGUAACGGCUUACCAAGGCAACGAUGCGUAGCCGACCUGAGAGGGUGAUCGGCCACACUGGAACUGAGACACGGUCCAGACUCCUACGGGAGGCAGCAGUAGGGAAUUUUCCGCAAUGGGCGAAAGCUUGACGGAGCAACGCCGCGUGAGUGAUGAAGGUCUUCGGAUCGUAAAACUCUGUUAUUAGGGAAGAACAAAUGUGUAAGUAACUAUGCACGUCUUGACGGUACCUAAUCAGAAAGCCACGGCUAACUACGUG
This 497-nucleotide ribosomal RNA is filed under the name uncultured bacterium. RNAcentral describes it as "partial 16S ribosomal RNA". It matches the Rfam family "Bacterial small subunit ribosomal RNA", at positions 28 to 507 of the family's 1533-position model. The record is from RNAcentral.